AAGUCGUAACAAGGUUUCCGUAGGUGAACCUGCGGAAGGAUCAUUAACACGUAUCCAAACGUUAAAACCCCCCCCCGUGAACCUUCAUCCUGCUCUUGUAACCCGCGUAGUUCGAGUUGUAGUGAUUCGCUACGUGCGAACAUUGGAACAGUUACAAUCGAGCGGUAGUUCUAUAGGCAAUGUUUCUCCAAGCAGUCAGUGUCGGAAAGUGUCAUUGAUUGUGCAAGGAUAGCGCUUCUACGAUUCCUGUAGACCGUACACUCGGGCAGGAGCUUUGCCAAAGGGUCCCCAUGCCCCCUAAUAACCCCACAGUUUAAUGUGAAGCUCAAUGUAAUACAUUGGGUAAAAAAACCGAACAACUGUUAACAAUGGAUAUCUUGGUUCUC
Molecule: unclassified non-coding RNA, 386 nt
Filed under: fungal sp.
Lineage: Eukaryota; Fungi
Description: partial internal transcribed spacer region
Rfam family: Eukaryotic small subunit ribosomal RNA (bases 1-46)
Source: RNAcentral